UGGCGGCUGCUACACAUGCAGUCGAGCGGUAGCACAGAGAGCUUGCUCUCGGGUGACGAGCGGCGGAUGGGUUAGUCAUGUCUGGGAAACUGCCUGAUGGAGGGGGAUAACUACUGGAAACGGUAGCUAAUACCGCAUAACGUCGCAAGACCAAAGUGGGGGACCUUCGGGCCUCAUGCCAUCAGAUGUGCCCAGAUGGGAUUAGCUAGUAGGUGGGGUAACGGCUCACCUAGGCGACGAUCCCUAGCUGGUCUGAGAGGAUGACCAGCCACACUGGAACUGAGACACGGUCCAGACUCCUACGGGAGGCAGCAGUGGGGAAUAUUGCACAAUGGGCGCAAGCCUGAUGCAGCCAUGCCGCGUGUGUGAAGAAGGCCUUCGGGUUGUAAAGCACUUUCAGCGGGGAGGAAGGCGAUAAGGUUAAUAACCUUGUCGAUUGACGUUACCCGCAGAUGAAGCCCCGUGCUAACUCCGUGCCAGCAGCCGCGGUAAUACGGAGGGUGCAAGCGUUAAUCUGAAUUACUGGGCGUAAAGCGCACGCUGGCGGUCUGUCAA
Molecule: ribosomal RNA, 555 nt
Filed under: Klebsiella pneumoniae
Lineage: Bacteria; Pseudomonadati; Pseudomonadota; Gammaproteobacteria; Enterobacterales; Enterobacteriaceae
Description: bacterial SSU rRNA
Rfam family: Bacterial small subunit ribosomal RNA
Source: RNAcentral